CACGGACCAAGGACAUGUAUGUCUAUCUGGAAUUAUGAGGUUCUAGGCUUGGCUGUGUGAAGAUCAAAGCAGAGGAAGCCACACAAUGCAGAGAAUCAACAGUGGAGCUAUGCCUAGUGAGAAGCAAAGAGACACUGGAUGGCCUGAGAGGGAAAGAGACUGAGAAAAGCUGUCAGCUUUUAGUUCCUGGUUCCAGUCCUUUGUGACGGCCAGCUUGAUUAGAGGUUUAUAACAGUUCACUACUUCAUCUACAUCCUCAAGCCAACACCUAUGAAAAAGAUAAUGGUGUCCGAUGACAGGCCUCUGCUAACAGUGUAAGGCUAUCUGUGAACUCCUCAGUCUACACAUAUCUUCCUCAGCCUCUGGGAUUCCAUUUCCACCCAAGAAUUAAAUUGAUAGAAAGAAAAACAGCAAAAUAUACACAUAUUUUUCCACUAUUAAAUCCAAUAAUGAUGACUUAAUUUCAGCAAAACAUCAUCAAUCGCA
Molecule: long non-coding RNA, 486 nt
Filed under: Homo sapiens (human)
Lineage: Eukaryota; Metazoa; Chordata; Mammalia; Primates; Hominidae
Description: non-protein coding DIAPH3-AS2:2
Source: RNAcentral